AAACUCUCAAGCUCCGCUUGGUGAUGGGCGCCUGUCUCACUAUUUGCGUGAUGACUCGCCUCAAAAGCAGUUGGCAGCUUCCUCUCCGGCUCUGAAACGCAGCAGAAUUGCGUGGAACGUCGUGGGAAGAAGCUUUCCAGUAAGCAAAUUACUCCUUA
Molecule: unclassified non-coding RNA, 158 nt
Filed under: uncultured Ascomycota
Lineage: Eukaryota; Fungi; Ascomycota
Description: sequence contains ITS2
Source: RNAcentral